ACCGUCCCACGUUCGGAUUGCAGGCUGCAACCCGCCUGCAUGAAGUUGGAAUCGCUAGUAAUCGCGGAUCAGCAUGCCGCGGUGAAUACGUUCCCGGGCCUUGUACACACCGCCCGUCACACCAUGAGAGUCGGGAACACCCGAAGUCCGUAGCCUGACCGCAAGGGGGCGCGGCCGAAGGUGGGUUCGAUAAUUGGGGUGAAGUCGUAACAAGGUAUC
This 219-nucleotide ribosomal RNA is filed under the name uncultured bacterium. Its description in RNAcentral is "partial 16S ribosomal RNA". It matches the Rfam family "Bacterial small subunit ribosomal RNA", at positions 1281 to 1500 of the family's 1533-position model. The record is from RNAcentral.